RNAcentral lists this ribosomal RNA (314 nucleotides) under uncultured bacterium. RNAcentral's name for it is "bacterial SSU rRNA". It matches the Rfam family "Bacterial small subunit ribosomal RNA", at positions 28 to 334 of the family's 1533-position model. The record is from RNAcentral.
GAUGAACGCUAGCUACAGGCUUAACACAUGCAAGUCGAGGGGCAUCAGUUUGGUUUGCUUGCAAACCAAAGCUGGCGACCGGCGCACGGGUGAGUAACACGUAUCCAACCUGCCUCAUACUCGGGGAUAGCCUUUCGAAAGAAAGAUUAAUAUCCGAUAGCAUAUAUUUCCCGCAUGGGUUUAUAUUAAAGAAAUUCGGUAUGAGAUGGGGAUGCGUUCCAUUAGUUUGUUGGGGGGUAACGGCCCACCAAGACUACGAUGGAUAGGGGUUCUGAGAGGAAGGUCCCCCACAUUGGAACUGAGACACGGUCCAA